UCCGUUAUGGUAUAGUGGCUAGCUCGGCCGCUCUCAUCGCGAAAGUCUCACACCAACCCGACCGGGGUUCGAUUCCCCGUAGUGGGG
Non-coding RNA from Trichophaea hybrida, 87 nucleotides. The record is from the annotation of a GenBank genome assembly. Lineage: Eukaryota; Fungi; Ascomycota; Pezizomycetes; Pezizales; Pyronemataceae.